Bubalus bubalis (water buffalo) is the source of this 783-nucleotide long non-coding RNA. RefSeq lists it as uncharacterized. Lineage: Eukaryota; Metazoa; Chordata; Mammalia; Artiodactyla; Bovidae. The record is from RefSeq and is a predicted model, not a curated record. The transcript has 2 exons.
CCCCUUUCUUUCUUUCGUAUGCCUCAGAGUAGGGGCUGAUAUCUGGAGCUCACUUAAAAUUUUGGAUUAGGUCACACUGAAACUGUCUUAGUUUGCAACGAGUCCAUUUCAAGAAGCAAUUUAUUAAAUGACUAUAGAAAUGAUGUUAGACAAAAAGCAAAUUUGAGCAAUUUUAAAAUUUGAAUUCAAAAUGGGUUAUAAAGCUGCAGAGACAACUUGCAACAUCAACAAAGCAUUUGGCCCAGGAACUGCUAAUGAACAUACAAUGCAGUGGUGAUUCAAGAAGUUUUGCAAAGGAGAACAGAGCCUUGAAGAUGAGGAACAUAGUGGCUGGCCAUCGAAAGUUGACAGCGACCAAUAGAGAGGAUCAUGGAAGGUGAUCCCUCUUACAACUACAUAAGAAGUUGCCAAAGAAGUCAACAUCAAUCAUUCUACCAUCAUUUGGCAUUUGAAGCAAAUUGGAAAGGUAAAAAAACUCGAUAAAUGGGUGCUUCAUGAGCUGACCAAAAAUCAAAAAGUUGAAUGAAUUGGGCUACACAGUCUUGCCUCAUCUGCCAUAUUCACCUGACCUCUCGCCAACAUACUACUACUUUUUCAAGCAUCUCAACAACUUUUUGCAGGGACAAUGCUUCUGAAUGUGUAGCAGACCUGGAGACAGACUGGUACAGAUUGGAUCCUGGGGGAUGGAGGGCUCUAGAAAAAAAAAAAGUUGACAGAAAACAUGAUGGAUGUUUAAAGGAAAAAAUAAAGGAUAUAGUAAAAUCAAAUAGUAGAAGACAAAAA